RNAcentral lists this long non-coding RNA (462 nucleotides) under Vigna radiata. Its description in RNAcentral is "long non-coding RNA (VRAD_LNC017118)". Lineage: Eukaryota; Viridiplantae; Streptophyta; Magnoliopsida; Fabales; Fabaceae. The record is from RNAcentral.
GAUAAGCCCUUUUCUAAGCCAAAAAUUUCAUCCCACAUGAAAAAGAACAUCUUAUGUUCUACUCUUUUUGAACCUAAGCCUUAAACAGGAUGAAAACCCUUGCUAUGAAAAUCUUUGCCAUGAGUUAAGUUGAGAAAUAUUUUUGGGGUAUUGUUAAAGGUUCAAGUUUGGGGUUGUUGGAAGAAUUGAAAAAGAAAAAGAAAAGUUAGGCAUUGAGCUUAUGAGUUGAAAAUAAAAUGCAUGAGAAAAGAUGAAAAAGAUAGAAAAAGAAAAAGCAUGAAAACAAAAGCUCAAUGUGAAGAAAAAGGAAAGUUGGGAAUGAGUGAGAUUGGUAAAAAGAGAGUUUGUGCUUGAACUAUGAAUGUAUAAUAACUCUCUUAACUCAAGGGUUUUGUGAUCUAGAAAAACCAAUUUUCCUUGUUAGCCCAACCACAUUAUAAGCCUUGAAAGGUCCUUGUGAUG